GUGGGGAAUUUUGGACAAUGGGCGCAAGCCUGAUCCAGCAAUGCCGCGUGCAGGAAGAAGGCCUUCGGGUUGUAAACUGCUUUUGUACGGAACGAAACGGUCCGGGUUAAUACCCUGGGCUAAUGACGGUACCGUAAGAAUAAGCACCGGCUAACUACGUGCCAGCAGCCGCGGUAAUACGUAGGGUGCAAGCGUUAAUCGGAAUUACUGGGCGUAAAGCGUGCGCAGGCGGUUUUGUAAGACAGGCGUGAAAUCCCCGGGCUCAACCUGGGAAUUGCGCUUGUGACUGCAAGGCUGGAGUGCGGCAGAGGGGAUGGAAUUCCGCGUGUAGCAGUGAAAUGCGUAGAUAUGCGGAGGAACACCGAUGGCGAAGGCAAUCCCCUGGGCCUGCACUGACGCUCAUGCACGAAAGCGUGGGGAGCAAACAGGAUUAGAAACCCCAGUAGUCC
This 449-nucleotide ribosomal RNA is filed under the name uncultured bacterium. RNAcentral's name for it is "partial 16S ribosomal RNA". It matches the Rfam family "Bacterial small subunit ribosomal RNA", at positions 354 to 796 of the family's 1533-position model. The record is from RNAcentral.